This 218-nucleotide unclassified non-coding RNA is filed under the name soil metagenome. RNAcentral describes it as "partial contains 5.8S ribosomal RNA, internal transcribed spacer 2, and large subunit ribosomal RNA". The record is from RNAcentral.
AACGAGGCCGACCUGCGGCUGAGUUACCUGCGGAGGGAUCAUUACAAGUGACCCCGGUUUACCACCGGGAUGUUCAUAACCCUUUGUUGUCCGACUCUGUUGCCUCCGGGGCGACCCUGCCUUCGGGCGGGGGCUCCGGGUGGACACUUCAAACUCUUGCGUAACUUUGCAGUCUGAGUAAACUUAAUUAAUAAAUUAAAACUUUUAACAAUGGAUCU